GAUGAACGCUGGCGGCGUGCCUAAUACAUGCAAGUCGAGCGAACAGACGAGGAGCUUGCUCCUCUGACGUUAGCGGCGGACGGGUGAGUAACACGUGUAUAACCUACCUAUAAGACUGGGAUAACUUCGGGAAACCGGAGCUAAUACCGGAUAAUAUAUUGAACCGCAUGGUUCAAUAGUGAAAGACGGUUUUGCUGUCACUUAUAGAUGGAUCCGCGCCGCAUUAGCUAGUUGGUAAGGUAACGGGUUACCAAGGCAAGGAUGCGUAGCCGACGUGAGAGGGUGGUCGGCCACACGGGAGCGUAGACACGGUCCAGGGUCCUACGGGAGGCAGCAGUAGGGAAUCUUCGGCAAUGGGCGAAAGCAUGACGGAGCAACGCCGCGUGAGUGAUGAAGGUCUUCGGAUCGUAAAACUCUGUUAUUAGGGAAGAACAAAUGUGUAAGUAACUAUGCACGUCUUGACGGUACCUAAUCAGAAAGCCACGGCUAACUACGUG
RNAcentral lists this ribosomal RNA (497 nucleotides) under uncultured bacterium. RNAcentral's name for it is "partial 16S ribosomal RNA". It matches the Rfam family "Bacterial small subunit ribosomal RNA", at positions 28 to 507 of the family's 1533-position model. The record is from RNAcentral.